Molecule: ribosomal RNA, 253 nt
Filed under: uncultured bacterium
Lineage: Bacteria
Description: partial 16S ribosomal RNA
Rfam family: Bacterial small subunit ribosomal RNA
Source: RNAcentral
UACGUAGGGUGCGAGCGUUAAUCGGAAUUACUGGGCGUAAAGGGCGCGUAGGCGGCUUUCUAAGUCAGACGUGAAAUCCCCCGGCUUAACCUGGGAACUGCGUCUGAUACUGGGAGGCUUGAAUGCGGGAGAGGGAUGUAGAAUUCCAGGUGUAGCGGUGAAAUGCGUAGAUAUCUGGAGGAAUACCGGUGGCGAAGGCGGCAUCCUGGACCGGUAUUGACGCUGAGGCGCGAAAGCCAGGGGAGCAAACGGG